CCCUCUCACACAGAGAACCUCACAUCUUCUCACUUCACCGAGGGCCCUCACCACCAUUCCUCACCUUCGUCGGACAUCGCCACCGCUGCAAAUCACCACCGCCACCGGCCUCCGCAAUACGAACAGGUUUGAAGAAUUUGAAUCUCGCUUUUCAUUCUUUGAAAAGCUAAAGCCAACACUUCCAAGUAGCUGAUCACCAUUCUGCUUAUCACCUCAUCUCCAAACAUCUUUGCCUCUAUUUUCUGCUAUUGGAGACAUAAAUAAAAUUCAGAUUGAUCUUAAGAUAGUCAAAAUACCAAGUCAACGUUUAAUAUCCAUCAACAUAUUAUGAGCCAAAACAAUUGACUAGAACUUCCUAUAUUGAUUGAUAAUGGAGGUUAAAUAGGCACAAAGGAUAGUUAUAGCUAAACCGGUUUCUUCAAGGCCUUCUUGCUCCACUUUUAGGUCCUUUUUCGAGCUCCUAGCCAGUGCUAUUGAUUCCUCACCCUCUAAUGCAUGUUCUGAAGCUGCAGUCGGUGCCAUUAGACCAAAAACUGUGAGGUUCAAGCCAAUGGUGAACCAUCAUCCUAAACUUUCUUCCCAGCUUGUUGUCCAUACAAGAAGGUGGCAGGGUUUGAAUUCAGAUGGAAAAUCCACUGUGGUUUACAAACCGUUGGCGAAGGUUAUAUGAAAGACAACAUUGUCUCUCUUGGCAAAUCUGGUGGAUGAUAUGCUGGAGGAAACAGUUCAGUUUCUUCAAAAUAGAAAUGUCGGUGUUGUGAUCCACAAUGAAUGAAACUUCAAUGUCCUCUGUGUUCGUGGGUGGUGUAAGGCCUUUUGGAGUUUCACUGCUAGUUGCUGGCCAACCGUAACAGGUCGAACUUACUCAGAAUGGGUAAUAGACUGAGAGUAUGAUUGGCCUCCUAAAUGCUGCCUAUGUCAUGCUGUGAUUGAAGAGGGGACCGAUCCUCAAACUACUCAAUUGGGUUGCUUGCAUAUGUGAUCAUGUUGCAUAUUGUCAAACUUCAUACAUACAAAUUUUUUCUUUACAUGCAAGCUGGCUGAACUUGUAUUGAAUAACUUCUUGUCUCUUAUUUGUUUUGUAUAAAAUUAUUAUUUUAAGUUGGAAUAUACUUAGUUUGUAUGCAAUGUUGACAUUAAAAGUUAUUCUGUUGUUUGGAUGGUUGUAAAUGAAAUUAAUACAGA
Non-coding RNA from Camellia sinensis, 1185 nucleotides. NCBI's taxonomy places the organism in Eukaryota, Viridiplantae, Streptophyta, Magnoliopsida, Ericales, Theaceae. The record is from RefSeq and is a predicted model, not a curated record.